GCCUGGGUGGCUCAGUCGGUUCAGCGUCCGACUCUUGGUGUUAGCCCAGGUCAUGAUCUCGCGAUGCGUGGGUUCAAGCCCCACAUCAGGCU
This 92-nucleotide transfer RNA is filed under the name Felis catus (domestic cat). It matches the Rfam family "tRNA". Rfam says of the family: Transfer RNA (tRNA) molecules are approximately 80 nucleotides in length. Their secondary structure includes four short double-helical elements and three loops (D, anti-codon, and T loops). The record is from Rfam by way of RNAcentral. RNAcentral also lists the same sequence under 1 other name. Lineage: Eukaryota; Metazoa; Chordata; Mammalia; Carnivora; Felidae.